This 639-nucleotide ribosomal RNA is filed under the name uncultured archaeon. RNAcentral describes it as "bacterial SSU rRNA". It matches the Rfam family "Archaeal small subunit ribosomal RNA", at positions 781 to 1448 of the family's 1478-position model. The record is from RNAcentral.
CUCCUCGAGAGGUAUUGGUGCUGAAGGGAAGCCGAAGAGUGUGCUACCUGGGAAGUAUAGUCGCAAGGCCGAAACUUAAAGGAAUUGGCGGGGAGACACUACAACGAGUGACGCGUGCGGUUCAAUUAGAUUUUACACCGUGAACCUCACCAGGAGCGACAGCAGGAUGAAGGUCAGUCUAAAGGGCUUACCUGACACGCUGAGAGGAGCUGCAUGGCCGACGUCAGCCUGUGCCGUGAGGUGACCUGUUAAAUCAGGUAACAGGCAAGACCCCCGUUCAUAUUUACUACGUGUACAAUAUGGAGAUUGCCUUGGAAACGAGGAUGAAAGUGGGGGCUACGUUAGGUGAGUACAGCCCGAAUCCCCUGGGCAACACGCGCGCGUCAAUGGUGGAUACAACGAGAUGCGACACCGAAAGGUGAAGCUAAUCUCUUAAAGUCCAUCUUAGUCUAGAUCGAGGUUUGUAACUCAGCCUCGUGACACUGGAAUUCGUAGUAAUCGUUUGUUAUCAACGAACGGUGAAUAUGUCACGGUCUCUUGCACACACUGCCCGUCAAAUCAACCGAGUUUAUCUAUGGUGAAAUCUUUCGAGAGAGAACCUUGGGUAGACAAGGUAGGUUAAGUCGUAACAAGGUAGCC